GUUAAAAUGGCAGAGCUGGUAAUUGCAUAAAGUUUAAGCCUUUACUCCCAGAGGUUCAAACCCUCUUCUUAAUA
This is a non-coding RNA of Sarcophilus harrisii (Tasmanian devil), 74 nucleotides long. The record is from Rfam. Lineage: Eukaryota; Metazoa; Chordata; Mammalia; Dasyuromorphia; Dasyuridae.